AUGGUGUUGAUGUUGACGAAGACCUUAGAAGAAAGGUGAACAUUGUAGUAUUUGGUUUUAGAGUCAUUAUUCUCGUUAACGGACCUAAUGGUGAAGAUGAACAAUGGCGUUUUCGGGAACAACACACACUCAACCACAAGAAUAACGCGAUUAGACCACUGGUUAUAAGGAAGGUGAUGCAACUUGUGCAAUAGCUAUCCUACGCCAC
Molecule: long non-coding RNA, 208 nt
Filed under: Vigna radiata
Lineage: Eukaryota; Viridiplantae; Streptophyta; Magnoliopsida; Fabales; Fabaceae
Description: long non-coding RNA (VRAD_LNC007642)
Source: RNAcentral